GCCCAGAUAGCUCAGUUGGUAGAGCAGCGGAUUGAAAAUCCGCGUGUCGUUGGUUCGAUUCCGACUCUGGGCA
Molecule: transfer RNA, 73 nt
Filed under: Myxococcales bacterium
Lineage: Bacteria; Pseudomonadati; Myxococcota; Myxococcia; Myxococcales
Also listed under: 2 other names
Description: tRNA-Phe
Rfam family: tRNA
About the family: Transfer RNA (tRNA) molecules are approximately 80 nucleotides in length. Their secondary structure includes four short double-helical elements and three loops (D, anti-codon, and T loops). Further hydrogen bonds mediate the characteristic L-shaped molecular structure. tRNAs have two regions of fundamental functional importance: the anti-codon, which is responsible for specific mRNA codon recognition, and the 3' end, to which the tRNAs corresponding amino acid is attached (by aminoacyl-tRNA synthetases). tRNAs cope with the degeneracy of the genetic code in two manners: having more than one tRNA (with a specific anti-codon) for a particular amino acid; and 'wobble' base-pairing, i.e. permitting non-standard base-pairing at the 3rd anti-codon position.
Source: RNAcentral